Coturnix japonica (Japanese quail) is the source of this 1897-nucleotide non-coding RNA. NCBI's taxonomy places the organism in Eukaryota, Metazoa, Chordata, Aves, Galliformes, Phasianidae. The record is from RefSeq and is a predicted model, not a curated record.
UAGGAAUUCAGGUUCUGUAAAAGCACUCUCCUCUCAUAAUUGCUACUUGGAGGUUUUUUUAUGUGUGCUUGGUUGUUGUUUUUUUAUCAUUCCUAAUGCUGUGGAAGGAUCUGGCACAUCCAAAGGAACUCAGAUAGGAAGGCUAAGUUCAAGAGGCCCAUGGUGAGCUCAAUCUGUGCAGCAUCUGCUUUCUGUGAAAGAUGUGGCUCCAGCUCCUGUGCCAGGACUGAAGGGUGCCCAGACACAAGUGGAGAAGGGUGCCCACUUGGAGAAAACUUCAGCAGCAGCAGGGAGAGGAACUGAGCAAACACCAAAGAGAAUGCAACCAAGGAUUCUACAGGUGCCUGUGUUUGCUGGCACCAAAAUCAGCAUUCUUUCAGUGGACUGUGUGCUGUGGCAUUUUGCUUUGUCCUUAAAUGUAUCUUUGCUUGAUGCUUCCCUCCCAGAAAUGCCAAUGAAUGAUUUGUGCUUGUCUUUGAAGAUGAGUGUAUGCUUUCCAGGCCCGCUGCAAUUUAUUUUAUCCCCACCAAUCUGAAGCAGCAAUUUUUAGACCUUUUAUAACCUGUUAAUGGGCAACUUGAUCAGUUACCGGUCUCCAGCGAGGUGGCAAUGUGUUUCUCAACAGCAGUGAGGCAGGGAAUUGGGUGACAGUUCUGUAUCUUUUUCCUUCCACUUCCAUUAACCCAGAUUCUUUCUUUUCUACUCUUACAAAUGUUUAUCUGCCAACUUCUGCAAAGCAUCAGCAUUUUUUUCACUGUCUUUUCUAACCUGUGGACAUUGAGUGGUAUGUGGUGAACUAUUCACUCCAUAUUCUUUGUGAUCUUUCAGAGACGUAUAAUUUCUUUCUAUGGCAUCCUCUUUACACAUUCCUAGGAACAUAAACCAGGCAGUAAACCUAGCAAAAAUGAGAAACAGUUUAAUGUAAGGGAAUGGCUUGAGAGAAUCCUCAAAAUGUGGAACAUGUACAUGCUAUUCAGCCUUGAAGGAUCCUGAAGCUGAAAAGCUGUUGAAGCCAAAGUAUGCUAAGCUUUGCUAACUUUGCUCAGCUUAGUUAGAAAUUCUCCCUUCCUGUGCUUUUUUUCAUUCUCUCUACUUUAUUUUCUUCAUUAAUGUAUUUGGAAGGAUCCUACUCUUCACUAGGAAGUAAAACAAGAGGAGAUAAAGAAGGAAGGAAAUGGUUUGGAAGGCUAGUCCUCCAGCAGAUAUACCUUCUGUGCAGUGAGUAUCAUAUACCAUAAGAGCUUCUAUUUCUUGUUUCAGUAAUUGUGUAGUGACCUGAAAUUUGAGGCAGUACGAUACCAGUGAUUGUGCUUGUGAAUUGUUUUUUCUCCAGCCAACAGAAACUGUGCUGCAAUAACCCUAAUUAACAUUUGCAUGAUUGUGAUUAGUAACUUACAAAAGUACUGUUGUGGUAACAAUAUAAAACAUUAUUUAACAGUUAUUGAAUUUUCUGCCUUUAUUCAUUAUUUUAAAGUCACAGUGAGCGGCAAACAGGAUAUGUCUAGUUGAUUAUGUAAUUAAACAUAUUAAAUAGCUGUAAGCUGAGAUAAUUAAAAAAAUGUUGAGUACUUUCUAAGGCAAGUAGGAUCUAUAAGAAGGUUAAAUGUUUCCAGAGGAGUCCAGCUAACGCAUCGAGGUCACCCAACUUGAAAUUCAAUUCCAGAUUGUUUGUUAUUGUUCACUGAUAGUUUCAUAUGCUUAUUCUCAACAAGUGCUAUUUGAGCACUAAUGUCUAAUUCAAUUAAAUGCUACAUUUCCUUAUUUACUGCUUAGCUUCAGUGGUGCUGUGAGAAUUGGGGCCCAGGAUAACUCUUCUUUCAAUAGCAAAUAAUCUCAUGUAUCAGUUGUGAUGGAUCCAGGACUAAUUCUACAGUAAAAUUAAAGCUCCAUGACUUUA